RNAcentral lists this ribosomal RNA (468 nucleotides) under uncultured bacterium. RNAcentral's name for it is "partial 16S ribosomal RNA". It matches the Rfam family "Bacterial small subunit ribosomal RNA", at positions 28 to 507 of the family's 1533-position model. The record is from RNAcentral.
GACGAACGCUGGCGGCGUGCUUAACACAUGCAAGUCGAACGGAAAGGCCCUACUUUUGUGGGGUGCUCGGGUGGCGAACGGGUGAGUGAGACGUAAGUAACCUACCCUUCACUUUCGGGUAACUUCACGAAACUGAGGCUAAUAUCGGAUAGGAGAUCCUGCUGCAUGGUAGGGGUGGGAUAGUCUCGGUGGUUGGGGUUGGAGUGGCGGCUUAUGGGCUUGUUAGUGGGGGAGUUGCUUACCAAGGCUGAGACGGGUCGGCGACAGGAGAGGGUGGCCGGCCACAUUAGGACUGAGAGACGGCCCAGACUGGUACGGUGGGCAGAAGGGGCGAAUAUUGCACAAUGGGCGGGAGCGUGAUGCAGCAACGCCGCGGUCGUGAUGACCUCUUUCGGGGUGUAAACAGCUUUCGCUUGUUACGCCGCGGGAGUGACGGUAAUGGGUAAAGAAGCACCGGCUAACUACGUG